Molecule: long non-coding RNA, 274 nt
Filed under: Homo sapiens (human)
Lineage: Eukaryota; Metazoa; Chordata; Mammalia; Primates; Hominidae
Description: non-protein coding lnc-SHOC2-1:3
Source: RNAcentral
AGAACAUUGAUUGCCUUUAUAGAGACUAAAAUGUUAACAUUGAAGAUUCAUGGAUGAACCUAGAUUUGAGAUCCAUCAGAGAAUGGAGGUCACAGAGCAAACUGAAGCCCCCCAAAUUGGAGAAAGACACGUGGAUACAGAGAAUCACAACUUACUGGGAACAAGCAGAAACCUCCGUGGGAACAAAGGGCAGAGUAGGAAAAACCUAAGCUAUAAUUGAUAAACUGCUGGAAGCUCAAUGUGAACAAAUCUGAGAGUUAACUUGUUGUGGGGG